GAUGAAGAACGUAGCGAAAUGCGAUAAGUAGUGUGAAUUGCAGAAUUCAGUGAAUCAUCGAAUCUUUGAACGCACAUUGCGCCCCUUGGUAUUCCAUGGGGCAUGCCUGUUCGAGCGUCAUUUGUACCUUCAAGCUUUGCUUGGUGUUGGGUGUUUGUCUCGCCUUUGCGUGUAGACUCGCCUUAAAAUAAUUGGCAGCCGGCGUAUUGAUUUCGGAGCGCAGUACAUCUCGCGCUUUGAACUCAUAACGACAGCGUCCAAAAGUACAUUUUACACUCUUGACCUCGGAUCAGGUAGGGAUACCCGCUGAACUUAAGCAUAUCAAUAAGCGGAGGA
RNAcentral lists this unclassified non-coding RNA (336 nucleotides) under soil metagenome. Its description in RNAcentral is "partial contains 5.8S ribosomal RNA, internal transcribed spacer 2, and large subunit ribosomal RNA". The stretch from base 1 to 120 matches the Rfam family "5.8S ribosomal RNA", at positions 35 to 154 of the family's 154-position model. The record is from RNAcentral.